This 1530-nucleotide long non-coding RNA is filed under the name Hordeum vulgare. RNAcentral describes it as "long non-coding RNA (HVUL_LNC015340)". Lineage: Eukaryota; Viridiplantae; Streptophyta; Magnoliopsida; Poales; Poaceae. The record is from RNAcentral.
ACAUCUGAUUAUCCGACUCACGGAUAUCACCCCUCUGCUGAGCAACAAGGCAAGCAACUAUUUUGAUCAUCUCGAUAAAUCCCAUGUUCUCGCUCCUGCUCUUACUUAAUGCAUUAGGUCAAAAUGCUUUCAACGCUUUUACCACGUUAGUUGAACCCACUUCCUUUGCAUGACCUGUCCUUGUCACGGUAAAUAGCUGAACCUUGCAACCUAGCAUACCUGGUAGAUGCUUGAGCCAUGAUGUGUCUUUUCCUGCAAUGCAUGCUAUGCUUAGAGUUGUGUAUGGUCUGUCAUCUGGGUGAUGAACAGGAUCGUGAGAAUGUGUUGAGUUAGUAAAGGUUGUGUGUUGACCCUGAUUUGGUAAAGGUACUGGUGAAAGGCUAUGUAGGAGUACAUGGCGGGUUGUUUCAUUGGAACCGUCCUUAGGAACUGAGUUCCGUGUAUGUAAUCCAUGACAAGAUACUACCACAUGCUGGGCCCUGAAAUAUGACCCCGCUCAACUUAUUAACCGCUUAGUACUCGGUCCAGGAGUUGCAAGUAGUUUCUGGUGUUUAUAGUCAUGCUGGAGGCCGUGCGUAGCGCUGACCUUAGAGGUGGGCUAUGAUGCGGUAGGCAGUGGCACGGUGUACCAAGUGGCACCCGGAUGGUGGGCUUGGGAACCCUGCGCACAUCGUUUGGGACCAUGGCGGAAUCCUCGGCCGGACUUCCGUGCGGGUUACCCUCAGAUAGGCGAUAGACCUCGACUAAGUAUUAGCGUGGUUAACGGUUGUGGCCGACUCCCUCGUUGGGCUUCCGCUUGAAGGUUGCCGAGGUGCAUGCUGUGCACAUGGUGAUAAGUGGCAAGAGUGUGUGUGAAGAAGUACACCCCUGCAGGGUUAUGAUCUAUUCGAAUAGCCGCGUCCGCGGAUAUGGACUACUUGGAAACAUAUGUUGUUCAUAGAUAACUAUAAUGGCUACUCAUAAAAUUGUCAAGAUAAGUGUGAGUGUCGUGGACGACAUUUUCGUAGGGAGACGGAAUGAUUCCACGAUGGAGUAUUGUUGUGGUGUUAGUGGACUCGUGUGCGAGAAAUCAAAGUUGUCAGAAUUAUUCAAAAAUGCAAGUUGUCUAGCCAAGAGUCAAAUCCUGGCUUUCCGCAUGAAACGCCACAACUCCUUGUUGAUACAUUGCAUGAGUAGAUAGAUUUCCUAAAGUCUUGCUGAGUACUUUCGUACUCACAUUUGCUUAAUAAAUUGUUGCAGAGAUUGUUAAUGACCCUAAUGGAGGGUUCUACCUAGACGUUGACGAUGACGAGUAGCUGGUAUCACAGCUACGAUCUGGCCCUAGGUUGGGUCUGUAGAUAGUCAGACCAUGUGCCUUUAUCUUUCCAUCUGUCUGUACUCAGACAGUUUUAAUCUUCCGUUGCAUUGUAAAACUCGUAUGUAUGACUUGUGAUGAUGGGUCGUAAGACCCCUAUCUGUGUAAUACUAUAUGUGAGGUUCUUCCGAGCCAUCUAAAUAAAGGUUGUAUGUUUAUGGUUAUGUUGUGAUGCC